CGUGCCUCCCCCUCGCCCGCCCCGAUGGGCAGCCAAGCAGUGGGUGGCCCUGGAACGGAACCUAGGGUCUGGCCUUGUGGCUCUGCUGACUCAGGACACCAGCGCCCAGGCCUUGUGAUGCCAAGACCUGACCUCUCCAGCUACACAGCUUCUGGAAGUCAGCAGAUGCUAGACUGAGCCACUGCGCUCCGCCUGCUCUUCAGCCAGGGCCGAGGAGGCAGCAGGCUGAGAUCAGGAGCUGGGAAGGACCAGCUCCCCAGGAGCCAUGGGAAAGGCAGCAGUGGGGUCAGAUGCUCAGAGGAUUGGGGCCCGUUCCUGGCUGCUGCUGGAAGCACUGGCCCUGCAAGGUGACGAGCCGCUUUGCUCCACCAGGGGUGCUGGCCCUGAACCUACAGCCAAUCAGCCCGGAGAGGUCUACCUUGUGUUCCCCCAGAACCCCUUUAUGGAGCGGCUGCCAGCCAAGGUCUUUGUGAUGCUGCUCCUGCCUGUUCACCUGUCAGCUCACCAAUGGACUCCAAAAUUUUUUUGUGUAGUUCCCUGGGCAGAAACACUUUGUUUUUCCUCUGCUAUAAAUGAUCUUUUAUGAACUCCAGUUCCAAUCCUUUAAGAAAAUUUCUUCAUGAUAUUUUACACUGGUUAUUUUCUUUGUAAACUAUCUAACUAUCCCACACAUGUUAGGAUUGAGUAAAACACAACCACAGGCAAAUGCUCUGUGUUUCAAGUGACAUCAUAGCUGCUGCAUCAACAGCAUCUACUUGGUUUUGUUGUAGAAAAUUUCCAUCUCAAACUGCCAUACUGUCAAGGUUUCCCUAUCAAUAUUUCCACCAUGGUGAAAUGUUGACACCAACAGUCCCAGUUUGUUUUUCUUUGCCAUAUAUAAGACCAAAGUUAUAUCUUUCUGAAAUAAAAAGAUUGCACUAUACAAUUCUGUUUUGAAAUUGCAACAUUUCAUUUGGAAUUUCUGCUUUGUUCCUGUGUACAGUUCCUGUGCUGGUCAACUUGUGCUCUGUUAGCAAAUGUAACAUCAACUGGAACCUGGUAAACCAGAUGUUGAAUCCCACAGUCAGAUUAGUUUGGGAGAUGGGAGCAACAAGUCUCUUCACAACAUCAUUCAGUUUUUUACUAUAUGAAUAAGGACCUGAUGGCUGAGUUCCAGCAUAAAUGUGUAAAUUUAAAGCAUAACAUCUUCACAUACACAAGGGCACACAUUUUACAUCAUAUGCUGACCCAUCUCUUUUCUAUAAGUCUUUUACAUGCUUGCAAUCACCAUGAGAAAUCCAUAGUAAGUACAACAGACCUAUGAACACUUUCAGUUCAGCUAGUAUGGUGCCAUAGAUACAUUUUUUAAUAUGGCUAUUGGUGCAUACAAAAUAUUUUACUUUCAGCCUUUGUGUGUAUCAUAGCUUCUUGUAGCCUUUCAUCUGUUACAAUUUCCAACACUGAAUGGCAGUGCUAGCAUUCUGUCCAAUACCUUUCACCCCUUCCAAGACCCUCAAUACAUUUUCUGACCUAGUUCUAACACUGGGUAGUUCC
This 1533-nucleotide long non-coding RNA is filed under the name Chinchilla lanigera (long-tailed chinchilla). RNAcentral's name for it is "lncRNA (ENSCLAG00000029297.1)". The record is from RNAcentral. Lineage: Eukaryota; Metazoa; Chordata; Mammalia; Rodentia; Chinchillidae.